GCUGAAGAACGCAGCGAAAUGCGAUACGUAAUGUGAAUUGCAGAAUUCAGUGAAUCAUCGAAUCUUUGAACGCACAUUGCACUCUCUGGUAUUCCGGAGAGUAUGCUUGUUUGAGUAUCUGUAAACAUCUCACAUCUCUCUUCAAUUGCUUCAAUUGGGUCGAGAGAAUUGGAUUUGAGCGAUCCCGACUCCUUCGUCAGAAAGAGGAGGGUCGCUUGAAAUGCAGGUGCAGCUGGACAUUCUUCUGAGCAAAAAGCAUAUCUAUUUAGUCCCGUCAAACGGAUUAUUACUUUUGCUUCAGCUAAUAGAAAGGUUGAAUGAACUACCAACGCUGAUUGCAGGAAAACAUGUUCGUUUAUUCGGACUUGUAAACUCGAUCUCAAAUCAAGUAAGACUACCCGCUGAACUUAAGCAUAUCAAUAAGCGGAGGA
Molecule: unclassified non-coding RNA, 431 nt
Filed under: soil metagenome
Description: partial contains 5.8S ribosomal RNA, internal transcribed spacer 2, and large subunit ribosomal RNA
Rfam family: 5.8S ribosomal RNA (bases 3-120)
Source: RNAcentral